Molecule: RNA transcript, 6777 nt
Organism: Pristis pectinata (smalltooth sawfish)
Lineage: Eukaryota; Metazoa; Chordata; Chondrichthyes; Rhinopristiformes; Pristidae
Exons: 16
Source: RefSeq, a predicted model, not a curated record
GUUGCUCGACUCUACAUUGCGACAUCUCUGCCUGUGGUCACGCUUCCUCAUUUCCCAAUCCUCAUGGACUUGCGGUUGGGAGGUUCUGCAACCCAUGAGGAACUUCACUUGUUCCUCAUUUGUUGGUGCUUCCAGCGAAUAGGUUCAGGGUCCUGGAGCAGAUGGGGUUUGGGUCGUUCGGGGACGCGUGUGGCUCGGAAUGGCGUCAGGACGGAUGUCGAGAAAGAAAUUCAUUCUGGGUCUGAGAGUCCGGGACCCCGGCUCAGCUGCCAGAGGUUUUCACUCGGUCACCUCUUCUUGCUGCUGCUGCUGCGGGUUUGGGUGAUUGGUGCCGAAGGCAGAAGAGAAUUGGUUGGUGCCCUUGGUUCUUCAGUUUUACUGGAUCCUGAAGUCAAAGUUGAUCCCAACAAGAAUGAAAUUAUUUGGACGUUCAUCGCCAGCCACAAAAGCCCUGUCACCAUUCUACAUCACAUCCCAGGUUACCUGAAGUGGAUGGAACCCAGUGAACAGUUCAAGACCCGUUUACAGUUUAUUCCAUCUAAUGGCUCUCUAAUGGUAAACCGAUUAGAAGCCGGUGACCAAGGAGCUUACAGCUUCACUGUAGAUGGACAACAGCUGAAAAUAAUACAAUUGCUCCUCUUUGCACAAUAUACAACAGAGGUUUACCGUUUACCCGGCAGCUCAGUGGCAUUUCUUGGAGUGGAUGAGAACGCAAGGAAGAUUACUAAAGUUUUUUAUUGGGAAAAACUGCAAGAACACCCAGGGAAAGAACCCUCCGUGGAACCAGUUCUCGAGUAUCAUGUGGGAUCCAUGAAACCUUUCUUAAUACAAAAAUACAACGGGCGCAUAGACUUCUCCCCCUCCAAUGGAUCACUUGUCUUCAAUGAUUUGACUUAUGCAGAUGAUGGUCUUUAUAGACUUUCCAUCAAUCUACGAGCAACCAUUAUUCGAACUGUUCGUCUGCGUAUAAUGGAUAAGCUGUCCAAGCCUUCGAUAUGGAGUAACGCCAGCUCUCCGGGUUCCACCAUCCAGCUCAUGUGUAAUGUGGGAGAUGCUUCGAGCUAUCAGUGGUGGAAAGAUGGAAGGGAGGUCUCCCAUCAUCACCUCCAAGAUGGGAACAGAAGCCUUGUUAUCCCGAGUGCUUCCAGAAGUGACUGUGGAAAUUACACCUGUGUUGCCACCAAUCCUGUCAGAUCUGUACAGGCAAGCUACCUGCUAACCAUUCACGGUCUUCGUCCGGUGGAGACCGUCAUUGUGGUGGCAUCGAUUGUUGGGAUAGUAUCUCCUGCAGUGUCAUUUGGUGGAUUGCUGCUACUGUGCUGCUUGAGGAGAGAGUUGAUGCAAGCGUCAUUGAAACAGUCCAAACUUUUGUUUUUGCUCCUGUUUAUCUGUAACAAUGUGUCUCUUGUUGCCAUCUCUAUUGCCCUCAUUUUCUGGAUCGUGAUUAAAGGAGCUGCCUCUGUACCUGUGGUUGCUUUGUGCAUUGCACUUAUCCUGCUGGCUUUUAACGUCUGCCUGACCAUCAGCAUUGGGAACUUGGGCUACCCGUGUAUCAGUCGCUUCUUAGACAGCACAGGUUUGCGAGCUUCGAUUGACUUCUGCGGAAUCAUAAGCUCCUUCGUUGUGAUCGUCUUUUCGAUCGUCAUCCUUGUUGAAGAGAUUCAGCAAAGCAAUGAAGGUUGUUACGUGACAGUUCUAACCUGGAGCAUACUGGCCCCAUUGUUCACCGUUCUUGCUGUAAUCUUCACUGCAUCUGUAGCAGUGUGGUGGAAAGGAAAUGGAGAUAACGAGCUGUGAAUCAAAUGAUCAAGAGGCACAGCAGGAGUGAUGAUCAGACUUGAAUCUCAGAACUACUCUGAGAAUGAAGGCAACCAUCGAUAUUCGAUGUUUUUGAAAAUUGACUGCAAAAGGACUCGAUAAUCUUCAUUAUUCCGCUGCUGGAAGUAGAAUAGAGCCACUGUAUCAAGGCUUAUUGCAAACAGUUUAGACUAGAACAAAGGUGCUUCUGAUGCUGCAUUACUCUUCUGUAUUACUCCAGGAACUUGCAGCUUUCCUAUUCGUUCAAAAUGGAGCCAACUGAAGUGAUGAUAUUUCUUCAUUGUUGCACAGCCUGUGAAGCAAGGGGACACCUCAGGAAACAGGGGUUCCUCUGACUGCGUGCUGUCCAUUAGAAGUUGUUGUCAGUUUAACACAAGAACGUGAACGUCAGACCUCACCAUCAAUUUCACAGCCACGCCAGUCUGUUUACAUUUACAACAAUGAACAACCUGUUGGAUGGACUCAGCAUGUCGAGCUCCCUCUGGAAUUGUCGGUGAUUUGGGCCUUUGUGAAAUUUCCCACGUUAUUUCACAGCACUGCCAUUGACUAGAAGCAAAAUACUUGAAAUCUGAAAUAAAAGCAGAAAAUAAAGUGAGCAGCUAACAGGUCAGGCAGCAUCUGUGGACGGAGAAACAGUGACCAUGUCACUGGCAUGAUCUUAUGCUGACUGUUUUAUGCUGAGAGGUUGGAGAGACUGGGAUUGUACACGCUGGAAUUGAGAAGAUUGAGAGGGGAUCUGGUUGAAACAUACAAGAUUAUUAAGGGAUUGGACAAGAUAGAGACAGGAAAUAUGUCCCAGAUGUUGGGGAAGUCCAGGACCAGGGGGCAUGAUUUAAGAAUAAGGGCUAGGCCAUUUAGGACAGAGGUGAGGAAAAACUUCUCCCAGAGGGUUGUGGAAUGCACUGCCUCAGAGGGCAGUGGAGGCCAAUCCUCUGGGCACUUUCAAGAAGGAGCUAGAUAGGUUUCUUAUAGAUAGGGGAAUCAAGGGAUAUGGGGACAAGGUAGGAACAAGAUAUUGAUUGUUGAAGAUCAGCCAUGAUCUCAAAAUGGCGGUGCAAACUCGAAGGGCCGAAUAGUCUACUUCUGCUCCUAUUGUCUAUUGUCUGUGCAGAGAAUCAGCUGGAUCUUGUGCAUUUUCUGAUAUUUUUUUUCUGCAAAUUAUUUAUUGCUCCAGAUUCCAGCAUCUGCAUUCUCUUGUGUCUCCCAGAUAUUUACAGCUGGGUACGCCAACUUCAGCUUCCAAAUUCCACAUUGAUGUGCCUGACCACUAACUGUGUUAUUUGUAGAAUGUCAGCUGUCUUGGCUCAAGGCAUCAUUGUUUUGCCAGCUAGGAACAGCCAACUGAGAUCAACUGAAAUUCCACUAAUGUUAUACUUCUCACUAUUUUUAUCAACAAGUUUCUGCUUCACAUGUUUAUCCUGGGCAGUAACAGAAUGGUCUUGUGCUAGAAGUUGCCAGUAACCGUCCAGUCAUGACAUUAAGGCAUCUGUAUUUUAUAUAUACCGUUUUUUGCACUUUUUUUUGAUUUUUGUUUGUGUUUAUUGUAUGUCUUCUGUUCUAUGUAUGUCCUCUGUUGUGUGAGUCUGGGGGAAACAACAUUUCGUUCCGCCAUGUGUUUUUAUAGCAUGGAUGAAUGACAAAGUAACUUGAACUUGAUCUGGUAACCUGGUGGGUGUCAGAGCCUCUUCCAUCAAUGGGAGUUUGCAUUUGGAAAAGGAAGGGAGGGAAAAAGCAGCAUGGAGUGAAAUUGGGUACGGAAAAUGGAAUUAAGGGAAGGAAAUGAGGGUUGGAUCUCAAUGGAGAGAGAAAACAGUACACAAAAGCAAACUAAAAGUUAUAUUUUAACACCUUUAAAACCACUUCACCAUCCGUAGGAAUGAGACCUGGCAUUCAACUUGUUCCCUUUCUGGGCUAGAGAUGUUGACUGAGAUCACACGAAUCUAUAUGUAAUUAUUACUUGUGUUGUUGAGGUCUGUUCAAGAGUCUGAUAACAGCGGGAUAGAAGCUGUCCUUGAGCCUGGUGGUACGUGUUCUCAAGCUUGUGUAUCUUCUGCCGGAAGGAAGGUGGAUAAAGAGAGAAUGGACAGAUUGGAAGGGAUCUUUGAUUAUGUUGGCUGCUUCCCUGAGGCAAUGGAGAGGAAGCUGGUUUUCAUGAUGGACUGGGCUGUGUCCACAACUCUGCAGUUUUUUGUGGUUUUGGGCAGAGCGGUUACCAUACCAACUAUGAUGCAUCCAGAUAGGAUGUUUCAUAUGGUGCAUCUGUGUAUAUAUAUUAGUGAAGGUCAAAGGGGACAUGCCAAAUUUCCUUCACCUUCUGAGGAAGUAGAAGUGCUGGUGUACUUUGCUGGCUAUAGGGUCAACGUGGCUUGACCAGGACACAAGUUAUUGGUGAUAUUUACACUUAGAAGCUUGAAGGUCACAACUAUCUCCACCUCUCCACCAUUGACACAUACAGGGCGUAUACUCUGCCCUGCAUCCUGAAGUCAAUAACCAGCUGUUUUGUUUUGCUGGCAUUGAGAGAAUUGUUGUUGUCAUGACACCAUGUCACUUAGCUCUCUAUCUCCUUCCUGUAGUCCGUUUUGUCAUUGUUGGAGAUUGUGCCCACAACGAUGGUGUCAUCUGCAAACUUGUGUGAGAAGGUUCUUUUGGAAUCUUAAAGAUGGAGGACUCUGGACACAGGCUUUGGAUUUUAAAAAUAGUUUAAUCACAAAGGCAAACGUGAGGACAGAAUGAAUGGGAACAGAUGCGCGCACGCGCGCGCUCACACACACACACACACACGCAGAAGACCGCGAAUGUGAGGGAGAAUCGCAACGAGGAUGUGAGACACACACACACACACACAAUAAACAAGGUACAGCUUAUCAGGGGAUAAACACUUAAAUGCCUGAACUCUUUGACCCAGACAAGCAUUGGCCCUAACACUCCCUGGAAUCUGACUAAAACACUCCCAAACCAUAUGGUGUUGCACAUUCUUACCAGUGGUCUCUGCAGCAUCAUCUCACUACUCCUGGGGCAGUCAAAAGAGGGAGGGCCAAGGGAUUGCAACACUCUUUAAAGUACUGGGAGACUGGGUGGAGCCUGGCCAGGUGAUUAAGACAGGCCAAUGGUUUGGAGGUCAAGCACAAAGGUGCCUGCCAAGGCCACUGGUCAGGCAGGUUCAGGAACAAAGGUGCUCUCGUAGGCCAAUCCCUUUGCCCACACCUUGAUUGACAGUGGUAUCACUUCCGAUCCGAGGAGCAAUGCUGUCCCCUGACGGGAGGGGUCUCAAAUUUUGCUGCUUAGACUGAUCCUUCACUUGGAAGUCUCCCAUUCCUCAGUGAACAGCACUGAAUCAGAUUGGUGUGGGUUCAAGUCUGUCUCUAGGAUCCGAGGACACAAUCCAGGCUGACCUCCCUGCCAUUUUCAGAAAAGAAAUUUAACCGGGGUCCCGUGCAUCACCUCAACUCGAUGCACACAUGUCAGAAGCCAAAACCGGAAUGAGUCGGUAAAUUCUCCUGGGUGUCCCAGCCAAUAUUUAUCAGCCAACGUCACUAAGAACAGACCACCUGGGUGUGACGGUGUGUGGGAGCCCACAGUGUGAGGACUGUGGCUGAGAUUCUUCCAACACAACUGCACUAUGUUCACUGAGGAACGUCUUCUGAGUUUAUGGAAGGCUUGGUGAUAAUGUGAGGUCUUUCCUUUCAUCUUUGGAUAAACUCACUGAAGAGACUGAGCUCCAUAACUUGUGCCAGCAACACUUCAUUGUCAUGAGAACUGAAUGCCUUGUUUGUUGCCUUCAGAGAGCAGAAUGAUGUUGAUCUUGGCCUCCAGCCAAGCUUUCCCAGCAGGGAUACAGCACUGACAUCUACCCGCCAAUGUGGAAAAUUGUCCAAGCAUGUCCUCCUGUUCACAAAAUUGUGAAGAAAUCCAGUCUGUCUAAUUACCGCUCUCAAUCAACAGCGGAAAAGCGAAAGAUGUCUUUGACAGUGCCACCAAGCAGCACUUACUCACCAGUGCCCAGUUUGGCUGUUGCCAGGGCCACACUGCUCCAAACCUCAUCACAGCCUCGAACCCAGCAUGGACUGAAGUGCUGAAUUCCAGAGGGGAGAGAGAUGGACCUUGGCAUCAAGGCAGCAGUUGAUCGAGUAAGGCAUUGAGGUGCCCUGGUAACACUGAAGUCAACGAAGGUCAAAAGGAAGAUCCUCCAGUGGUUGGAGCUGUGCCGCGCGCAUAGGAGGAUGUUUGGGGUAUGUAAUGGAGGUCACCAUCUCGGCCCCAGGACGUCAGUGCCAGACUGCCCCAGGACAGUGUCCUACGUCCAACCACAUUCUGCUGCUUCAUCGAUGACCUUCCAUCCUAUCGCAAGGCCAGGAGUGGGGCUGGUGACUGAUGACUUUAUUAAGAAAAGUCAGAUUGUGUAACCUUGACGUCCCAUGUUGGCUUCAGCUAAUAGGUGGCAUGGUGAAGGACUUCAACAGGUUUUCGUCCAGUGGAGACCAUCAUUGUGGUGGCAUCAGUUGUUGGGAUAGUAUCUUCUGUAGUGUCAUUUAUUGGAUUGCUGCUACUGUGCUGCUUGAGGAGAGAAUUGAUACAAGCGUCAGUGAAACAGUCCAAACUCCUGUUUAUCUUUACCACGGUGUCUCUUGUUGCCAUCUCUAUUGCCCUCAUUUCCUGGAUUGUGAUUAAAGACAGGGACUGCACCAUUGGCUACUGAUUGGAAAAUCAUACCCAGCUAUUCUUCUACUGGCAGAGGAGCUGCCUCUGUACCUGUGGUUGCUUUGUGCAUUGCACUUGUCCUGCUGGCUUUUAACGUCUGCCCGACCAUCAACAUUGGGAACUUGGGCUGCAAGUGUAUCAGUCGCUUCUUAGACAGCACAGAUGAAGGUUGUUACGUGACAAUUCUAAUCUGGAGCAUACUGCCCCCAUUGUUCACUGUUCUUGCAGUAAUCUUCAUUGCAUCUGCAGCAGUGUGGUGGA